UACGUAGGGGGCAAGCGUUAUCCGGAUUUACUGGGUGUAAAGGGAGCGCAGACGGAACUGCAAGUCUGAUGUAAAGCCCGGGGCUCAACCGCGGGACUGCAUCGGAUACUGUGGAUCUGGAGUGCCGGAGGGGCAAGCGGAAUUCCUGGUGUAGCGGUGAAAUGCGUAGAUAUCAGGAGGAACACCGGCGGCGAAGGCGGCUUGCUGGACGGCAACUGACGUUGAGGCUCGAAAGCGUGGGGAGCAAACAGGAUUAGAUACCCUGGUA
Molecule: ribosomal RNA, 268 nt
Filed under: uncultured prokaryote
Description: partial 16S ribosomal RNA
Rfam family: Bacterial small subunit ribosomal RNA
Source: RNAcentral